GACGAACGCUGGCGGCGUGCUUAACACAUGCAAGUCGAACGGAAAGGCCCCUUUGGGGGUACUCGAGUGGCGAACGGGUGAGUAACACGUGAGUAACCUGCCCUUGACUUCGGGAUAACUUCAGGAAACUGGGGCUAAUACCGGAUAGGAAUCCUUGCUGCAUGGGGGGGGUUGGAAAGCUUCGGCGGUUUUGGAUGGACUCGCGGCUUAUCAGCUUGUUGGUGGGGUAGUGGCUUACCAAGGCUUUGACGGGUAGCCGGCCUGAGAGGGCGAGCGGCCACAUUGGGACUGAGAUACGGCCCAGACUCCUACGGGUGGCAGCAGUGGGGAAUAUUGCACAAGGGGCGGAAGCCUGAUGCAGCAACGCCGCGUGCGGUAUGACGGCCUUCGUGUUGUAAACCGCUUUCAGCAGGGGCGAAGCUUGUGGUGACGGUACCUGCAGAAGAAGCACCGGCUAACUACGUG
Molecule: ribosomal RNA, 465 nt
Filed under: uncultured bacterium
Lineage: Bacteria
Description: partial 16S ribosomal RNA
Rfam family: Bacterial small subunit ribosomal RNA
Source: RNAcentral